UACUACUGGAACGGUAGCUAAUACCGCAUAACGUCGCAAGACCAAAGAGGGGGACCUUCGGGCCUCUUGCCAUCAGAUGUGCCCAGAUGGGAUUAGCUAGUAGGUGGGGUAACGGCUCACCUAGGCGACGAUCCCUAGCUGGUCUGAGAGGAUGACCAGCCACACUGGAACUGAGACACGGUCCAGACUCCUACGGGAGGCAGCAGUGGGGAAUAUUGCACAAUGGGCGCAAGCCUGAUGCAGCCAUGCCGCGUGUAUGAAGAAGGCCUUCGGGUUGUAAAGUACUUUCAGCGGGGAGGAAGGCGUUGAGGUUAAUAACCUCAGCGAUUGACGUUACCCGCAGAAGAAGCACCGGCUAACUCCGUGCCAGCAGCCCGCGGGUAAUACGAA
This 390-nucleotide ribosomal RNA is filed under the name Enterobacter sp. AJ 2-3. RNAcentral's name for it is "bacterial SSU rRNA". It matches the Rfam family "Bacterial small subunit ribosomal RNA", at positions 145 to 529 of the family's 1533-position model. The record is from RNAcentral. Lineage: Bacteria; Pseudomonadati; Pseudomonadota; Gammaproteobacteria; Enterobacterales; Enterobacteriaceae.